RNAcentral lists this ribosomal RNA (253 nucleotides) under uncultured bacterium. RNAcentral describes it as "partial 16S ribosomal RNA". It matches the Rfam family "Bacterial small subunit ribosomal RNA", at positions 524 to 776 of the family's 1533-position model. The record is from RNAcentral.
UACAGAGACUGCAAGCGUUAUUCGGAUUCACUGGGCGUAAAGGGAGCGUAGGCGGCGUGGUAAGUCAGAUGUGAAAUCCCGGGGCUCAACCCCGGAACUGCAUCCGAUACUGCCAUGCUAGAGGAUUGGAGAGGUAGCUGGAAUUCUUGGUGUAGCAGUGAAAUGCGUAGAGAUCAAGAGGAACACUCGUGGCGAAAGCGAGCUACUGGACAAUUCCUGACGCUGAGGCUCGAAGGCUAGGGUAGCGAAAGGG